Molecule: non-coding RNA, 105 nt
Organism: Acanthosepion pharaonis
Lineage: Eukaryota; Metazoa; Mollusca; Cephalopoda; Sepiida; Sepiidae
Source: the annotation of a GenBank genome assembly
UAUGGCCACAUCACAUUGAAACAUUGGUUCCCGUACGAUCACCGAAGUUAAACACCGUCGAGCCUGGGCAACACUUAGAUGGGUGACCGCUUGGGAAUACCAAGU